RNAcentral lists this transfer RNA (56 nucleotides) under Porcellio dilatatus petiti. Its description in RNAcentral is "tRNA-Phe". Lineage: Eukaryota; Metazoa; Arthropoda; Malacostraca; Isopoda; Porcellionidae. The record is from RNAcentral.
GACAAUUAAGUUUUUAGAACAUAAUAUUGAAGUUAUUAAAGAACUACCUCUUUAAG